Molecule: long non-coding RNA, 500 nt
Organism: Megalobrama amblycephala (Wuchang bream)
Lineage: Eukaryota; Metazoa; Chordata; Actinopteri; Cypriniformes; Xenocyprididae
Exons: 3
Source: RefSeq, a predicted model, not a curated record
GCCCAUUCGACGCAUUAGACAAGGAAAGGCAGUAUUAACGGCUGGAUCUGUGUACAGACAAGGGAGACGGUUCUCCUGUGGAGAGGGCCUACACGUCCUGGACCAGCCGGUCCGACGGUCAGCCGGUCAGGACAGGAGGAGGAGAGACGUUUCACUGGCAGCCUGCAGCUUUUGGUGUCUUCAUCAGAAAGGUUAACUCCUCUCCUCCGUUGAGGAAUGACCUGCAGGGCAGACCUCACCGCUGGGGAAGGAAAACGAGAGCUCUGAAGACAUUGUGGCAGCUCAGCUGAAGGGAGAGGUGUGCUGAGGUGAAGCUUAAACACACACUCAACUCUACACAGCUGAAACCAUAAAGCACAUAUGUGAAUCAUUUGCCGUUUAAUACAUUAAAAGUUGUUUAUGUGUGACCACAGAGUUUGUCUGUAUUAGUGGAAAUAAGUGCACAGAUGCGCACUGACAUUUAUUUUCUUUCAGAACACUAAUAAAAGCAAUUUGUAUAA